RNAcentral lists this transfer RNA (73 nucleotides) under Strongylocentrotus purpuratus (purple sea urchin). Its description in RNAcentral is "tRNA-Val". It matches the Rfam family "tRNA". From Rfam's summary of the family: Transfer RNA (tRNA) molecules are approximately 80 nucleotides in length. Lineage: Eukaryota; Metazoa; Echinodermata; Echinoidea; Camarodonta; Strongylocentrotidae. The record is from Rfam by way of RNAcentral.
GUUUUCGUAGUGUAGUGGUUAUCACGUGCGCCUCACACGCGCAAGGUCCCCGGUUCGAACCCGGGCGGAAACU